ACUAUGCAAUUUCUUCUAGCACCUGCGCCGUUGGAUGGAUGGUGUUUACGGAAGAAUAAAGGUCUUCCCGCAGCACUUCACGCCCGAGAAAGAGCCCAUGGACGGUGCUGAUGGUCUGUCCACAAGUAAGAGCAACAUGGAUCCGUCACCAAGUCCAUGUAGGCAUUCUUGGACCCCGAAACGAGUCAAGGGAGUUUAUCUCUUCUGCAACUGUUGUCUAUUCCUUGCAUUAGGUGGUCUUCCAGCAACAAGGAUGAUGACAAGACCGAAUUGACAAGAGCUGAAGUAGAAUCAUUACGAAGCGAAAUUGCCGAUGCCGAUGAAAGGGUGUCCUAGCUAAAAGCCCAGUUAGAAAAUAUUGACGAAGCCUUGAGAUAUGCACUCCUUUCCGGGUACCUCCAUAUCAGAAGUAGAUGGACUCAACUUCCUGGGGAGCCACCUAUCAUAGACGACGCCGAUGUCGAUGACUGGCUUCCUCGCUUUGUUGUCCUACAAGGACAGUGUUUAUACUACUAUCUGAAGUGUACUGGCUACUGCCGCUGAUAAUGACGAUGACAACAAUGUUGACCUUUUUGGAACCAAAGAAGAGAAGAAGGCAGUUGGAGAGCAUGCUGCCAAAGUGAAGGGUUCUUGCAAGAAGAAAGAAU
RNAcentral lists this ribosomal RNA (647 nucleotides) under Triticum aestivum (bread wheat). Its description in RNAcentral is "partial small subunit ribosomal RNA". The record is from RNAcentral. Lineage: Eukaryota; Viridiplantae; Streptophyta; Magnoliopsida; Poales; Poaceae.